RNAcentral lists this transfer RNA (75 nucleotides) under Microcoleus asticus IPMA8. RNAcentral describes it as "tRNA-Met". It matches the Rfam family "tRNA". From Rfam's summary of the family: Transfer RNA (tRNA) molecules are approximately 80 nucleotides in length. Their secondary structure includes four short double-helical elements and three loops (D, anti-codon, and T loops). The record is from RNAcentral. Lineage: Bacteria; Bacillati; Cyanobacteriota; Cyanophyceae; Oscillatoriales; Microcoleaceae.
GGUGAAGUAGCCUGGGUAGGCUUGGAGGUCUCAUAAGCCUCUUAAUAGCAGGUUCAACUCCUGCCCCCGCCACCA